This is a long non-coding RNA of Engraulis encrasicolus (European anchovy), 1088 nucleotides long. RefSeq lists it as uncharacterized. The record is from RefSeq and is a predicted model, not a curated record. Lineage: Eukaryota; Metazoa; Chordata; Actinopteri; Clupeiformes; Engraulidae. The transcript has 5 exons.
CCACUGGUUAGCAUAACAAAUGAAGCGGAAGUUUGUUUAGUCCAUAAUAGUCAAACACAGAGAGCUCAGAUCUCAAUUGUUGAUAGACUAUCGUUGCUACGGUGACUGCAACCGACCACCUUUGAAACACAACUGAAACGCAACUCACGGCUGCUGCUGACAAGGGCAUUCACAUAUUUAUUCGUAAAACCAUUUUAUUUUUUGGUGGAUGAAAACAUUGUGUCAAUAUGCUAUGUCUAUGUUCGCCUUAUUCACCCGGAACGUUCUAAAGACGUUGAGGGGUACACUUCAGGGGUACAUUCGGCAACGCACCAGCUGUCAUGGCGCCUCACUGUUGUGUGCCCAAAUGUUCGUCCUCAAAGAGAAAAAAAAUCCUACCGUGGACAGACUUUCCACCGUUUCCCCAAAGAGCAGGCACUUCGCCGUGGAUGUAUAAAUCACAUCUAGAGGGGUCCUGGUCCAUAUUUCAAGAUCAACGCUGAGACCAAGGUUUGCUCUGAGCACUUUGAGAAGCAGUGUUUUGUAAAGACCACCCGUGUUAUCACAAAGCUUAUAAAGGAUGCUGUGCCAACUUUCGCCUGGACUUCAGAGAGGCCAAAGAGGAGAAUCAUCAUUCGCAGACCGAGAGAUGAUGACCCAUUCCUGAAGUUGGACGCCAGAAUGCAGGAAGGUGCUGUUUAAGAGCCUAGGCGGUGGAAGAAGCACUUGCAGGUAUGCUACCGACCAGGCUCCUCAACACCAAUCCGAGACGGAAGAUGAAACGGGAUGAAGCAGUUAGAUUGAGGAUAACGUACCUCAACAGUCUUCUUCAGAUUCUCUACAAACACAGUCUGAGUGGUGAUUAGAACAUGCCUGGCAUCCAAGGGUGUGGCCAGUUUGUUAACCCUUAACACUCUACACUUUACAAUUAUAAUUAUUUUACACUGUCUGGACAAGAUGUAGAAUACUACUGAGCGACAGUGAUAUGUCAUGUUCUUAAUACUGUUAUAUCCUGUCAUUACAGACAAGGCGGCCGGAAACUUUGAUGACCUCAAUGACACUGGCUAGGUGAAGGACAUCAACAAAAUGGCAUCAGGUCACCAGACAUC